This 1222-nucleotide ribosomal RNA is filed under the name Serratella sp. Liaoning-2019. RNAcentral describes it as "16S ribosomal RNA". The stretch from base 797 to 1159 matches the Rfam family "Bacterial large subunit ribosomal RNA", at positions 2072 to 2648 of the family's 2925-position model. The record is from RNAcentral. Lineage: Eukaryota; Metazoa; Arthropoda; Insecta; Ephemeroptera; Ephemerellidae.
AACUUUGAAAAGGUAAAAAUGGUUAUUGGGUUUCUAAAAUAAUAAAGUUUUGGAGUAGGGAAUAUCGAGAUAAAAUUUUAGCUUUACCGAGAGGGAAUUUUGAAAGAGGGUUAAAUUAAAGGAAAGAAAUAAUUUUAUGUACCUUUUGUAUCAGGGUUUAUUAAAUAAUAUGAAGAUUAUCUAAAUCUCGAUUUGAGGAGAGCUAACUUAUUAAGUAAUUUAAGGUAGCAAACUUAUGUAAAAUAGUAGGUUAGGAGCGAAAUACUAGUCGAUCCUCUAGGUUUCUAGUUUCUUAAGAGAUAAAUUUAAUUUAGAUAUUAAAAGUGGUCCUUGUUAAUUAAGGAUUAAGCAAAUUAAUAUUAAGAUUUUAGGGGAUAAGCUCUAAAGUAUUUUAUAAACCAAAUAAAGGGGGUAACAGUAGGCCUAGAAGUAACCACCAAGAAUAUGUUAUAAUUCAUCCCCGUUAAAUAAAAUUUUUAUUAUUUUAAAUAUUUAUUAAGAUAAUUUUGUGAAUAAAAUAUAAAAUGAAAUAAUGAUAAAAUUAUUACACCAGACUGUUCUUUUAAAGGAAUUCGGCAAAUUUGUGUUCGCCUGUUUAUCAAAAACAUCGCCUUUAGUUUAUAUAGAAGGUCUCACCUGCCCACUGAUAAUUUUAAGGGCCGCGGUAUUUUGACCGUGCAAAGGUAGCAUAAUCAUUAGUCUUUUAAUUGGAGACUGGAAUGAAAGGUAGGACGAGGCACAAACUGUCUCCAAAAGAAUCAGGAAUUUAUCUUUUUAGUGAAAAGACUAAAAUAAAAUUAUAGGACGAGAAGACCCUAUAGAACUUGAUAAAUUAUAAAUAAGUCUUUUAGUAAAGGGUACAGGCUUUAUUUAGGUUUUAUUAUGUUGGGGUGACAGGGUAAUAAAAUAACUUACUUUAAACAAACCACGGAUAUGUGAAUUUAGGAACCAUAAAUAAUGAAUAGAAAAUUAAGUUACCUUAGGGAUAACAGCGUAAUCUUCUUUGAGAGUUCAUAUCGAUAAGAGGGGUUGCGACCUCGAUGUUGGAUUAAAGGUAAUUCUAGGUGCAGAAGCUUAGAGUUGGGGUCUGUUCGACCCCUAAGACUUUACAUGAUCUGAGUUCAGACCGGCGUGAGCCAGGUCGGUUUCUAUCCUUAAUAAGUAGGAAUAUUUUAGUACGAAAGGACCAAAUAUUAAAGAUAAUCUUUAAAGUUAGAAUAUU